Molecule: ribosomal RNA, 464 nt
Filed under: uncultured bacterium
Lineage: Bacteria
Description: bacterial SSU rRNA
Rfam family: Bacterial small subunit ribosomal RNA
Source: RNAcentral
GGGCCCGCACAAGCGGUGGAUUAUGUGGUUUAAUUCGAAGCAACGCGCAGAACCUUACCUAGGCUUGACAUCCCACGACAACCGUAGAAAUACGGCUUUGUAGCAAUACACGUGGAGACAGGUGCUGCAUGGCUGUCGUCAGCUCGUGUUGUGAAAUGUUGGGUUAAGUCCCGCAACGAGCGCAACCCCUGGAUUUAGUUGCCAGCAUUAAGUUGGGCACUCUAAAUUAACUGCCAGCGUUAAGCUGGAGGAAGGUGGGGAUGACGUCAAGUCCUCAUGGCCCUUACGCCUAGGGCUACACACGUAAUACAAUGGAUAGGACAAAGGGUCGCGAACCUGCGAGGGGGAGCUAAUCUCAAAAACCUAUCCUCAGUUCGGAUUGGAGGCUGCAAUUCGCCUCCAUGAAGGCGGAAUCGCUAGUAAUCGUGGAUCAGAACGCCACGGUGAAUACGUUCCCGGGCCUU